UAGCAGCACGUAAAUACUGGAGUUUAGGAUUGCCUGUUGCUCUCCAGUAUUGCAUUGCUGCUUUA
This 65-nucleotide microRNA precursor is filed under the name Columba livia (rock pigeon). RNAcentral describes it as "Cli-Mir-15-P2c_pre stem-loop". It matches the Rfam family "mir-16 microRNA precursor family", at positions 10 to 75 of the family's 82-position model. Rfam says of the family: The hairpin precursors (represented here) are predicted based on base pairing and cross-species conservation -- their extents are not known. The record is from RNAcentral. Lineage: Eukaryota; Metazoa; Chordata; Aves; Columbiformes; Columbidae.